This 499-nucleotide ribosomal RNA is filed under the name uncultured bacterium. RNAcentral describes it as "partial 16S ribosomal RNA". It matches the Rfam family "Bacterial small subunit ribosomal RNA", at positions 28 to 507 of the family's 1533-position model. The record is from RNAcentral.
GAUGAACGCUGGCGGCGUGCCUAAUACAUGCAAGUCGAGCGAAUGGAUUAAGAGCUUGCUCUUAUGAAGUUAGCGGCGGACGGGUGAGUAACACGUGGGUAACCUGCCCAUAAGACUGGGAUAACUCCGGGAAACCGGGGCUAAUACCGGAUAACAUUUUGAACCGCAUGGUUCGAAAUUGAAAGGCGGCUUCGGCUGUCACUUAUGGAUGGACCCGCGUCGCAUUAGCUAGUUGGUGAGGUAACGGCUCACCAAGGCAACGAUGCGGAGCCGACCUGAGAGGGUGGUCGGCCACCCUGGGACUGAGACACGGCCCAGACUCCUACGGGAGGCAGCAGUAGGGAAUCUUCCGCAAUGGACGAAAGUCUGACGGAGCAACGCCGCGUGAGUGAUGAAGGCUUUCGGGUCGUAAAACUCUGUUGUUAGGGAAGAACAAGUGCUAGUUGAAUAAGCUGGCACCUUGACGUUACCUAACCAGAAAGCCACGGCUAACUACGUG